Molecule: ribosomal RNA, 468 nt
Filed under: uncultured bacterium
Lineage: Bacteria
Description: partial 16S ribosomal RNA
Rfam family: Bacterial small subunit ribosomal RNA
Source: RNAcentral
GACGAACGCUGGCGGCGUGCUUAACACAUGCAAGUCGAACGGAAAGGCCCUGCUUUUGUGGGGUGCUCGAGUGGCGAACGGGUGAGUAACACGUGAGUAACCUGCCCUUGACUUUGGGAUAACUUCAGGAAACUGGGGCUAAUACCGGAUAGGAGCUCCUGCUGCAUGGUGGGGGUUGGAAAGUUUCGGCGGUGGGGGAUGGACUCGCGGCUUAUCAGCUUGUUGGUGGGGUAGUGGCUUACCAAGGCUUUGACGGGUAGCCGGCCUGAGAGGGUGACCGGCCACAUUGGGACUGACAUACGGCCCAGACUGCUACGGGAGGCAGCAGUGGGGAAUAUUGCACCGUGGGCGGAAGCCUGAUGCAGCAACCCCGCGUGCGGGAUGACGGCCUUCGGGUUGUAAACCGCUUUCGCCUGUGACGAAGCGUGAGUGACGGUAAUGGGUAAAGAAGCACCGGCUAACUACGUG